CACACCGCCCGUCACACCAUGGGAGUUGGUUCUACCCGAAGGCAGUGCGCCCAACCGCAAGGAGGCAGCUGACCACGGUAGGGUCAGCGACUGGGGUG
RNAcentral lists this ribosomal RNA (98 nucleotides) under uncultured bacterium. Its description in RNAcentral is "partial 16S ribosomal RNA". It matches the Rfam family "Bacterial small subunit ribosomal RNA", at positions 1386 to 1482 of the family's 1533-position model. The record is from RNAcentral.